Molecule: ribosomal RNA, 497 nt
Filed under: uncultured bacterium
Lineage: Bacteria
Description: partial 16S ribosomal RNA
Rfam family: Bacterial small subunit ribosomal RNA
Source: RNAcentral
GACGAACGCUGGCGGCGUGCCUAAUACAUGCAAGUAGAACGCUGAAGAGAGGAGCUUGCUCUUCUUUGAUGAGUUGCGAACGGGUGAGUAACGCGUAGGUAACCUGCCUUGUAGCGGGGGAUAACUAUUGGAAACGAUAGCUAAUACCGCAUAACAAUGGAUGACACAUGUCAUUUAUUUGAAAGGGGCAAUUGCUCCACUACAAGAUGGACCUGCGUUGUAUUAGCUAGUAGGUGAGGUAAUGGCUCACCUAGGCGACGAUACAUAGCCGACCUGAGAGGGUGAUCGGCCACACUGGGACUGAGACACGGCCCAGACUCCUACGGGAGGCAGCAGUAGGGAAUCUUCGGCAAUGGGGGCAACCCUGACCGAGCAACGCCGCGUGAGUGAAGAAGGUUUUCGGAUCGUAAAGCUCUGUUGUAAGUCAAGAACGGGUGUGAGAGUGGAAAGUUCACACUGUGACGGUAGCUGACCAGAAAGGGACGGCUAACUACGUG